ACUGGGUGUGGUGGCACGUGCCUGUAGUCCCAGUUAGUCGGGAGGCUGAGGUGGGAGGAUCGCUUGAGCCCAGGAGGUCUGGGCUGUAGUGCACUAUGCUGAGCGGGUGACUGCACCAAGUUUGGCAACAAUAUGGUGACCUCCUAGGAGCCGGGGACCACCAGGUUGCCUAAGGAGGGGUGAACCAGCCCAGGUCAGAAACAGAGUAGGUCAAAACUCCCGUGCUGAUCAGUAGUGAGAUCAUGCCUGUGAACAGCCACUGCACUCCAGCCUGGGCAACACUGAGACCCCAUCUCUA
Unclassified non-coding RNA from Callithrix jacchus (white-tufted-ear marmoset), 298 nucleotides. It matches the Rfam family "Metazoan signal recognition particle RNA". Rfam says of the family: The signal recognition particle (SRP) is a universally conserved ribonucleoprotein. It is involved in the co-translational targeting of proteins to membranes. The eukaryotic SRP consists of a 300-nucleotide 7S RNA and six proteins: SRPs 72, 68, 54, 19, 14, and 9. NCBI's taxonomy places the organism in Eukaryota, Metazoa, Chordata, Mammalia, Primates, Cebidae. The record is from Ensembl.